AGCGAACGCUGGCGGCAGGCCUAACACAUGCAAGUGAACGAACCUUUCGGGGUUAGUGGCGGACGGGUGAGUAACACGUGGGAACGUGCCUUUAAGUUCGGAAUAACUCAGGGAAACUUGUGCUAAUACCGAAUGUGCCCUUCGGGGGAAAGAUUUAUCGCCUUUAGAGCGGCCCGCGUCUGAUUAGCUAGUUGGUUGAGGUAAUGGCUCACCAAGGCGACGAUCAGUAGCUGGUCUGAGAGGAUGAUCAGCCACAUUGGGACUGAGACACGGCCCAAACUCCUACGGGAAGCAGCAGUGGGGAAUCUUGCGCAAUGGGCGAAAGCCUGACGCAGCCAUGCCGCGUGAAUGAUGAAGGUCUUAGGAUUGUAAAAUUCUUUCACCGGGGACGAUAAUGACGGUACCCGGAGAAGAAGCCCCGGCUAACUUCGUG
Molecule: ribosomal RNA, 433 nt
Filed under: uncultured bacterium
Lineage: Bacteria
Description: partial 16S ribosomal RNA
Rfam family: Bacterial small subunit ribosomal RNA
Source: RNAcentral